RNAcentral lists this ribosomal RNA (253 nucleotides) under uncultured bacterium. RNAcentral's name for it is "partial 16S ribosomal RNA". It matches the Rfam family "Bacterial small subunit ribosomal RNA", at positions 524 to 776 of the family's 1533-position model. The record is from RNAcentral.
UACGUAGGUGGCAAGCGUUGUCUGGAUUUAUUGGGUUUAAAGGGUGCGUAGGCGGCCUUAUAAGUCAGUGCUGAAAUAUCCCGGCUUAACCGGGAGGGUGGCAUUGAUACUGUAGGGCUUGAGUAAAGUUGAGGUUGGCGGAAUUGACGGUGUAGCGGUGAAAUGCGUAGAGAUUGGGAAGAACACCGGUGGCGAAAGCGCUCUGCUGGGCCGCAACUGACACUAAUGGACGAAAGCUAGGGGAGCGAAUGGG